Molecule: ribosomal RNA, 509 nt
Filed under: uncultured fungus
Lineage: Eukaryota; Fungi
Description: eukaryotic LSU rRNA
Rfam family: 5.8S ribosomal RNA (bases 158-311)
Source: RNAcentral
UUACAGAACGCCCGGGCUUCGGCCUGGUUAUUCAUAACCCUUUGUUGUCCGACUCUGUUGCCUCCGGGGCGACCCUGCCUUCGGGCGGGGGCUCCGGGUGGACACUUCAAACUCUUGCGUAACUUUGCAGUCUGAGUAAACUUAAUUAAUAAAUUAAAACUUUUAACAACGGAUCUCUUGGUUCUGGCAUCGAUGAAGAACGCAGCGAAAUGCGAUAAGUAAUGUGAAUUGCAGAAUUCAGUGAAUCAUCGAAUCUUUGAACGCACAUUGCGCCCCCUGGUAUUCCGGGGGGCAUGCCUGUUCGAGCGUCAUUUCACCACUCAAGCCUCGCUUGGUAUUGGGCAACGCGGUCCGCCGCGUGCCUCAAAUCGUCCGGCUGGGUCUUCUGUCCCCUAAGCGUUGUGGAAACUAUUCGCUAAAGGGUGUUCGGGAGGCUACGCCGUAAAACAACCCCAUUUCUAAGGUUGACCUCGGAUCAGGUAGGGAUACCCGCUGAACUUAAGCAUAUC